AGUGAACGCUGGCGGUAGGCCUAACACAUGCAAGUCGAACGGCAGCACAGUAAGAGCUUGCUCUUACGGGUGGCGAGUGGCGGACGGGUGAGGAAUACAUCGGAAUCUACUUUUUCGUGGGGGAUAACGUAGGGAAACUUACGCUAAUACCGCAUACGACCUACGGGUGAAAGCAGGGGAUCUUCGGACCUUGCGCGAUUGAAUGAGCCGAUGUCGGAUUAGCUAGUUGGCGGGGUAAAGGCCCACCAAGGCGACGAUCCGUAGCUGGUCUGAGAGGAUGAUCAGCCACACUGGAACUGAGACACGGUCCAGACUCCUACGGGAGGCAGCAGUGGGGAAUAUUGGACAAUGGGCGCAAGCCUGAUCCAGCCAUACCGCGUGGGCGAGGAAGGCCUUCGGGUUGUAAAGCCCUUUUGUUGGGAAAGAAAAGCAGCAGGUUAAUACCCCGCUGUUCUGACGGUACCCAAAGAAUAAGCACCGGCUAACUUCGUG
Molecule: ribosomal RNA, 492 nt
Filed under: uncultured bacterium
Lineage: Bacteria
Description: partial 16S ribosomal RNA
Rfam family: Bacterial small subunit ribosomal RNA
Source: RNAcentral